GGGGAUGACUUGGUAUCGAUUAGAGCAGUGAGGAUUAGUUGCAUGUCGGCCUGAACAUGCCGUUACGCGGUUCAUUUUUUUUAGACGCAAACAAUACAGAUUACGCUCCAGCUUACGCUAAAGUAGCAUAAGUUAAACACAGACUCGCCUAACGGCUUGAGACUUUGGAGGUUUCCACUACAGAUUCUAUCUAUGUAGUAACACGGAGAUUCACCCUAGAUAGAUUAUCAUCUUAGAAUUGAUUUGAAUUAGAUGAGACAUUUAAAAUCUUAGCUUUUUGUUAGCCUUGCAGGUUGAGCUUUUAAAAAGUGAAAUUAAUCAACCUUUUACUAAGCAUGUAGACGCUGGUAGUAGCUGUUUUAAGACUCCGGUUCAAUUCCGGACAUCUCCACCA
This 394-nucleotide transfer-messenger RNA is filed under the name Arcobacter sp. It matches the Rfam family "transfer-messenger RNA". From Rfam's summary of the family: Bacterial tmRNA, also known as 10Sa RNA or SsrA, is named for its dual tRNA and mRNA-like properties. Its role is to liberate the mRNA from a stalled ribosome. To accomplish this part of the tmRNA is used as a reading frame that ends in a translation stop signal. RNAcentral also lists the same sequence under 1 other name. Lineage: Bacteria; Pseudomonadati; Campylobacterota; Epsilonproteobacteria; Campylobacterales; Arcobacteraceae. The record is from RNAcentral.